Molecule: ribosomal RNA, 252 nt
Filed under: uncultured bacterium
Lineage: Bacteria
Description: partial 16S ribosomal RNA
Rfam family: Bacterial small subunit ribosomal RNA
Source: RNAcentral
UACGUAGGGUGCAAGCGUUGUUCGGAAUUACUGGGCGUAAAGAGCGCGUAGGCGGGCGUGUAAGUUGUCUGUGAAAUCCCUGAGCUUAACUUAGGAAUGUCAGACAAUACUGCAUGUCUUGAGUGUUUGAGAGGAUGGCAGAAUUCCAGGUGUAGAGGUGAAAUUCGUAGAUAUCUGGAAGAACACCGGAGGCGAAGGCGGCUGUCUGGCAAACAACUGACGCUAAGGCGCGAAAGCGUGGGGAGCAAACAG